This 497-nucleotide ribosomal RNA is filed under the name uncultured bacterium. Its description in RNAcentral is "partial 16S ribosomal RNA". It matches the Rfam family "Bacterial small subunit ribosomal RNA", at positions 28 to 507 of the family's 1533-position model. The record is from RNAcentral.
GAUGAACGCUGGCGGCGUGCCUAAUACAUGCAAGUCGAGCGAACAGAUAAGGAGCUUGCUCCUUUGACGUUAGCGGCGGACGGGUGAGUAACACGUGGGUAACCUACCUAUAAGACUGGGAUAACUUCGGGAAACCGGAGCUAAUACCGGAUAAUAUUUCGAACCGCAUGGUUCGAUAGUGAAAGAUGGUUUUGCUAUCACUUAUAGAUGGACCCGCGCCGUAUUAGCUAGUUGGUAAGGUAACGGCUUACCAAGGCGACGAUACGUAGCCGACCUGAGAGGGUGAUCGGCCACACUGGAACUGAGACACGGACCAGACUCCUACGGGAGGCAGCAGUAGGGAAUCUUCCGCAAUGGGCGAAAGCCUGACGGAGCAACGCCGCGUGAGUGAUGAAGGUCUUCGGAUCGUAAAACUCUGUUAUUAGGGAAGAACAUACGUGUAAGUAACUGUGCACGUCUUGACGGUACCUAAUCAGAAAGCCACGGCUAACUACGUG